Molecule: ribosomal RNA, 376 nt
Filed under: uncultured bacterium
Lineage: Bacteria
Description: bacterial SSU rRNA
Rfam family: Bacterial small subunit ribosomal RNA
Source: RNAcentral
UACGUAGGGGGCAAGCGUUGUCCGGAUUUAUUGGGCGUAAAGCGCUCGCAGGUGGUUCAUUGCGUCGUGCGUGAAAGACCCUGGCUCAACUGGGGGGUGUCGUGCGAAACGGGUGAACUAGAGGCCAGUAGGGGGAUGCGGAAUUCCGGGUGUAGUGGUGGAAUGCGUAGAGAUCCGGAGGAACACCAGCGGCGAAGGCGGCAUCCUGGACUGGUCCUGACACUCAGGAGCGAAAGCGUGGGGAGCGAUCCGGAUUAGAUACCCGGGUAGUCCACGCUGUAAACGAUGAGUACUAGGUGUUGGGGGUAUCGACCCCCUCAGUGCCGAAGCUAACGCGAUAAGUACUCCGCCUGGGGACUACGGCCGCAAGGCUAAA